Molecule: ribosomal RNA, 301 nt
Filed under: uncultured bacterium
Lineage: Bacteria
Description: partial 16S ribosomal RNA
Rfam family: Bacterial small subunit ribosomal RNA
Source: RNAcentral
CAGCAGCCGCGGUAAUACGGAGGGGGCUAGCGUUGUUCGGAAUUACUGGGCGUAAAGCGCACGUAGGCGGCUUGGUAAGUUAGAGGUGAAAGCCUGGAGCUCAACUCCAGAAUUGCCUUUAAGACUGCCGAGCUAGCAGGUGAGAGAGGUAAGUGGAAUUCCGAGUGUAGAGGUGAAAUUCGUAGAUAUUCGGAAGAACACCAGUGGCGAAGGCGGUUUACUGGCUCAUACUGGACGCUGAGGUGCGAAAGCGUGGGGAGCAAACAGGAUUAGAUACCCCAGUAGUCCCUGUCUCUUAUAC